UGGUGCAAAAGUAAUCACGGUUUUUGCCAUUACUUUUAAUGGCAAAAACCGUGAUUACUUUUGCACCAACCUAAUAAC
RNAcentral lists this microRNA precursor (78 nucleotides) under Saimiri boliviensis boliviensis (Bolivian squirrel monkey). RNAcentral describes it as "miRNA (ENSSBOG00000018355.1)". The record is from RNAcentral. Lineage: Eukaryota; Metazoa; Chordata; Mammalia; Primates; Cebidae.